GAAAACAGCAGGGCCUGCGUUUAAAACGUGCCGCAAGUCACGCCGGUUCCUUUCAGACAGCGCAACCCAGCAUCACCAAGCAGAAGAACACUCAACCUGCACAGAUGGGAAUAGUCUGGUGCAAGGCCCUGGAAAUAUCUGCUGUUUAGGAUGCACCGCAUCAACUCCUCCACAUCUCCACUGCACCUGCUCCACCCGUUUGGCUGCAUGCUGUGAAAUCAGGUGCAAGAACUGCUCAGACUUUAAGUGUUACUAAUGGUUCCCAGCUCUUUUCGGGAGGACUGUUGGAUUCCCGGUGGACUUCUUGGAAUUGCAGAACCUUGCCUGUAAAACUUCAGAAUGCUGGCUAGCUUCAGCAGAGCAAGGCUAAAGUCUGAAACUGAAGAUCGGAGUUACCGUUCAAAUGCUAAGACAAUAAACACCCUUCUUUCAUGUGUCUGUGUAAUGCUUAUAUAAACUGAGCAGGCUACAUAAUUAUCUCAGAUUAGUUUACACUCAGCAGACAAAGCUUGCACAACUUGGGACUAUACUUCCAUUGGCUGAUCUCUAAAUUGUGUAUAUAUGACAUGACAGCCCAUGUGGUAAAGCAAUUUAGCAGGUAUAAUUGUUUACCAUAAUAAUUCAAAACGACAUGAAGGGGAAGGAAUGUAAUGUCAUUUCCGUGACCUCACGGCACAGCUAUGAACUGUUCGCCUUGGCGAGAGCUUGGGACCUGCUGAACCGAGAGGGAGCAGUAAGUCACGUUAAUACCGACUCCCCACGAGGGCCACUCCGGCAGUGGGUCAACAAACCUGAGCCGUUUUCUGUGAAAAGUCAGAGAUUUUCGAAAUAAUGAAAGCCUUUUUCAAAGCUCAGGAGAAAUUAAAUACCUUUGUGCCUUCCAUUUUCUGUGAGGCCGUUUUUGACUCUUAGGUGGUGUGAAGCCUUACGGGCUUUAAGCAAAAGAAGAGCGAUCUUAAUGCUAUGACUGGAGGGGGAAUUAAUUACUAAAAUAAUGCUAAUAUGGACCUCUGUGUCAAGCCUCCUGGGUCACAGCAAUUCUGGGAAAAGGGAUUCAGUUAAAAAAAAAAAAAUCCCUUCCACAUUGCCUGGAGAGCGAGCAUUUAUAUUGUCAGUUCAGUCGUAUAUCUAGGUAUAAGCUCGUACUGUAAGCCCUAAAAAAACCACAUGAGAUUCGUGCUGGAAAUGAUAAGCACAAGAUAAAGGUCACGUGAAAUUUGAUUACUUAUUUUAUAGUAGUUCCGGGAGAAUUUAUACUAAUCUCCUAAAAAAAUGUUUAACUACCUUGAAACCAUUAAAAAACACUACUGUUUUGAAACCACAGUACAACCCAGGGGGAAAAACCUUAGGCUUUGUUAUGUCAGAUAUGAUUUCAAUGUCAAUGCAAUGAUUCAAUAUUUGGAAACAUUUCUAAUUUCACUACAAUAACACAAUUCCCUUCAGUAAUAUAGGAUGGAUACAACUAGCUAACGAUUGUUUUCACUUAAGCGUAGCUUAAAUUAAAUUUCAAAAUGUAUUACUAUUACUAAUGUAUUACUUUAAUCUUUGACCAAAACGCAAUGGGGGAGAAUAUGUUAGUAAAUUGUUAGUAGUUUCAUGGUAUGUAUCAAUGUAUUUUUACUUAGCUUUUAGAGUCACCUUUAGCAUCGUUCAAAAUCCACUUAUUAUCACACCCCAAGAAUGACCUCCGUCAAACAGUAUAUACAACUACACAGGCCCAUAUGAACUCGGUCCCCAAUGCUUAUAUUCUUUACAAGGUUUUUUUGUCGA
Non-coding RNA from Electrophorus electricus (electric eel), 1770 nucleotides. The record is from RefSeq and is a predicted model, not a curated record. NCBI's taxonomy places the organism in Eukaryota, Metazoa, Chordata, Actinopteri, Gymnotiformes, Gymnotidae.